Molecule: ribosomal RNA, 206 nt
Filed under: uncultured Anaerolineaceae bacterium
Lineage: Bacteria; Bacillati; Chloroflexota; Anaerolineae; Anaerolineales; Anaerolineaceae
Description: partial 16S ribosomal RNA
Rfam family: Bacterial small subunit ribosomal RNA
Source: RNAcentral
AUGAUGUCAAGUCAGCAUGGCCUUUAUAUCCUGGGCUACACACACGCUACAAUGGGAAGGGACAAUAGGUUGCGAAGCCGCGAGGCGGAGCCAAUCCAGCAAAACUUCCCUCAGUUCAGAUUGCAGGCUGCAACCCGCCUGCAUGAAGUUGGAGUUGCUAGUAAACGCAGGUCAGCCAUACUGCGUUGAAUACGUUCCCGGGGCUU